UGAAUACUCUCUUCGUAUGGAAUUAUUUGUCAUACGAAUGGAUAAAAACGAAUGUAUCUAGAACAAAAAUACAUCUAGAUACAUCCAUUCCUAUGACAAAUAUUUUCGGACGAUCGAAGUAUUAG
Non-coding RNA from Hordeum vulgare subsp. vulgare (domesticated barley), 125 nucleotides. Lineage: Eukaryota; Viridiplantae; Streptophyta; Magnoliopsida; Poales; Poaceae. The record is from Rfam.